This 29-nucleotide non-coding RNA is filed under the name Rattus norvegicus (Norway rat). The record is from RNAcentral. Lineage: Eukaryota; Metazoa; Chordata; Mammalia; Rodentia; Muridae.
UAGGGUCAUGUGCUUCAAUACAAUUCCUU